Molecule: long non-coding RNA, 1125 nt
Filed under: Dermacentor andersoni
Lineage: Eukaryota; Metazoa; Arthropoda; Arachnida; Ixodida; Ixodidae
Description: uncharacterized LOC126535755
Source: RNAcentral
AAAUCACUCGUAGCAGAGGAGCGCCUUUGCAGAGAUGAGCAGAUGGUGCCCUUCAAAGGGCGCCUUGACAUAAAACAGUAUGUCAAAGGAAAGCCGCACCCAUGGGGCAUCAAAAUAUUUAUGCUCUGCGGCGAAUCUGGCCUUGUAUAUGACUUUCUACCCUAUCAGGGGUCUACAACAAAGAUCGAAGACCACGUAAAACAGCGCUAUGGUGUUACAGGCGCAAUAGUUUUGCAUUUAUCUGACAGAAUUCCAUCUGGUGUGGGACACAAACUUUUUUUCGACAACUAUUUCACGUCCCUGCCACUGCUCCGUGAAAUGUUGCGUAAAACAUAUUUGCUGCCGGCACUGUAAGAUCGAACAGGUGUGAAAAGUGCCCUUUGAAGACUGAAAAGGAAAUGAAAAAAAGUGGCCGCGGUUCUUCAGAGUGCGUUGUGAGCGCUGAUGGAAAUAUAGCGAUAACAAGGUGGAUGGACAAUAGGAUUGUGACCCUUGCAUCCAAUUUUAUUGCUAUUGAGGAGGAAGACAGCGUUCGUCGUUGGAACAAGGCGGAAAAGCGUUUUGUAGACGUGAAGCGACCAGCUGUCAUUAACGAUUACAACCGCAGCAUGGGUGGGGUCGAUAAAGUAGACUUCCGGAUUUCUCUUUAUCGAACUACCAUUCACUCGCGAAAGUGGACCUUGAGAAUAAUGACGUUUCAUUUUAUGAACCUCGCAGUGGUCAACGCUUGGCUUGAAUACAGGCGUGACGCAGACAAACAGAGCAUCCCUAAGCAGCUUGAUCUCCUUGACUUCACUCUAAGAGGAAAGGCAUUCACUCUCACCAUUGCAGGCUUCAAAGCACCCAAGAAUGGCAGAAAACAGACCUGUCCAGGAUGUAAGGUUUGAUCAGCUGGGACAUUUCCCACUUCACGAUGACACGAGGGAAAGAAGGUGCAAGAUGGAAGGCUGCACAGGAAGAACCCGCAUAAUGUGCGAGAAAUGCAAGGUUCACUUGUGCCUAAUAAAGUCGCGAAAUUGCUUCAGGGCUUUCCAUAUGCGUGUAUAACAUCUCUUUGAUCACUUUGACGAUGUUGAAUUGCCCUAUGUCCUUUUGAAUAAAGCUGUCACAUAUUUCACUUUGCAA